GAGAGUUAUGACAGUAAAUCUAAAAUGAUUUCCAAAGGAAUAUUACGUAACAAAUGGCUUGAAGUAGUCUAUUAAAAAAUUGGGGAGAUUUUGAUUUCAUAGUGAGUCAGCAAGGCAUUUUUUUGUUUUUUAAAAAAUCUCAUUUCCUUACAGAAACAGUUUAUAGUUUUUAAUGAAUUUGUAAACAAAAAAGCUCCCAUUUCAAAAUAAAAACAAAAUCCCAGAUCAUAUAGAUGUUUACAGUGAUUACAUUUAUCUAAGCAACAUACAUACAUGUUCAGUUGUAAGAUGUUAACUAAAUUUCUGUGACAAAUAUG
This 317-nucleotide long non-coding RNA is filed under the name Bos taurus (domestic cattle). RNAcentral's name for it is "long non-coding RNA NONBTAT023471". Lineage: Eukaryota; Metazoa; Chordata; Mammalia; Artiodactyla; Bovidae. The record is from RNAcentral.